Long non-coding RNA from Macadamia integrifolia, 964 nucleotides. RefSeq lists it as uncharacterized. The transcript is spliced from 5 exons. Lineage: Eukaryota; Viridiplantae; Streptophyta; Magnoliopsida; Proteales; Proteaceae. The record is from RefSeq and is a predicted model, not a curated record.
UAUUGGCCUUCAACUAAAUUGUUCAAAAAAAAAAAAAAAUGCAGAAAGAGAAAUCGAACCUCCGCCCUUUUUCUGAAAUUUCUGCCUCGAUUCACUUCAUGGCCGCUCAAAUUCCACCAUUGAAGGCGUCUUGAGCUUUUCUAGUAGAUGCUGAAAAGAUAUACAAUCUAGAAAUCUAAGCAAGGGGAAAAAAUAAAUUUGAAGGAGUUUGCAGGUUAGGGUUUCAAGCCAGGAGUUUCUGAGUUAGCAAAAGCAAUAACAUCAGAUGAUCUGGAAAUAAUUCAAAAGUUUCUUGAAGAUGCUGUCGAAUCCAGGGUUUUGGUUUAUAUAUGAGCAAUUAUCAUGGUUACCAUUUAUACGUUUAAUUGUCCAGUUCUGAAGGUCUGAUUGUCAAAACAUAAAUAAAGAUGCCACAUCUGAGCCCUUCCAAAUGGUCCCACAAUUCAUUGAAAUUGAAAAAAGAUUACAUGGGCAGCAUUGGUGACUCAGUAGAUUUAGUACCUGUUGCCGCAUUCCAUGGUCGUGGAAAAUGUACAGGUGUAUAUGGUGCCUUUCUCCAUGCUUGUGAAGAUGAUAAGAGUGAAGAAUUCAAAGCAAAUGCAAAAUAAGUAAGUAGUCUUUUUGGUACAUGUUGAUAUCUGCACUUGGUAGAUCUCCGAUACGUGGAACUGUAUCUGAUGCUGUGCUGGCACUGGAUCUUUUGAAGUGACACUUGAAGAGCGUUCUAACAGUCUUCAUAGUAAACUGAUCCCAAAACCAAAGGUUACUUAUCUUCUCUUUUUGUUUUGUUGAAACAAUGAAAAAUUAUGUCUGAUUGCAAAUGGUCACAAGUGAAACUUCAUUCUUAUAUUAUUUCCAGCCAUAUUAUCGGUGUGGAGAUACAACCAAUCCAGAUGUAUGGUUUGAACCAUCUGAAGAAGUCAUUAUCACCUUGUUACCUUUAGGUGAAUAUUUUCACUUCUCA